GGGAAUUCAGCUGAUGAGCAUGAUUUGUGCUUGGGCAUAUUGACCGCCUUUCAGUGUCUGCUUAACUGCGGGUGCCUGCCUCUGGUGGGUAUGUGUGGUGCGCUUAUCAUGUGCCGCACGCAUUGGAGGGUGUAUGAGUCUGCUUGUCGGUGCACUUUCUCAGGGUGUUCACCACGACCGGCACUGCUGUCUGUCUGCUUUGGUCAAACUGAUCAGGUCUGAUUAACGUUGGGCUUGGUUGGGUUGGCAGGUGACUCACUGGUCCACUCUGUGGGCUAUGAGUGUUACUAGCCGGCUAUAGUGGAUCUGUACGGUGUGUCGGAGACGGCGGCUUUGCAUAUGCGCUCUGUCCUUCAGGCGUGGUUGAGUCUGGUCGACUUGUUGCUAGUUUCGGCUGGUCAGUUGAUGGCUUGAUCAUGUUCAGUUGGCAGUGGUGUGUGUGUCUUAGUUUGGGCCAAUAGUCUGUGGUGUUGUGGUAGACUAUCCACCUGACCCGUCUUGAAACACGGACCAAGGAGUUUAACAUGUGCGCGAGUCAUUGGGCUUUACGAAACCCAAAGGCGCAGUGAAGGUAAAGGUUUGGCUUGUCCAGGCUGAGGUGAGAUCCUGUUGUUUUGCUCAUUAAUUCCAAGCUGCGAGCAGCAGGCGCAUCACCGGCCCGUCCCAUGACGUAGACAUGUGGCCUUGUGCUAUGUGCACCGUCGGGGCGGAGCAAGAGCGUACAUGUUGAGACCCGAAAGAUGGUGAACUAUGCUUGCGAAGGUGAAAGCCAGAAGAAACUCUGGUGGAGGACCGUAGCGAU
Molecule: ribosomal RNA, 802 nt
Filed under: Trichobilharzia sp. PYOL011
Lineage: Eukaryota; Metazoa; Platyhelminthes; Trematoda; Strigeidida; Schistosomatidae
Description: partial large subunit ribosomal RNA
Rfam family: Eukaryotic large subunit ribosomal RNA
Source: RNAcentral